UAGGGAAUCUUCGGCAAUGGACGGAAGUCUGACCGAGCAACGCCGCGUGAGUGAAGAAGGUUUUCGGAUCGUAAAGCUCUGUUGUAAGAGAAGAACGAGUGUGAGAGUGGAAAGUUCACACUGUGACGGUAUCUUACCAGAAAGGGACGGCUAACUACGUGCCAGCAGCCGCGGUAAUACGUAGGUCCCGAGCGUUGUCCGGAUUUAUCGGGCGUAAAGCGAGCGCAGGCGGUUAGAUAAGUCUGAAGUUAAAGGCUGUGGCUUAACCAUAGUACGCUUUGGAAACUGUUUAACUUGAGUGCAAGAGGGGAGAGUGGAAUUCCAUGUGUAGCGGUGAAAUGCGUAGAUAUAUGGAGGAACACCGGUGGCGAAAGCGGCUCUCUGGCUUGUAACUGACGCUGAGGCUCGAAAGCGUGGGGAGCAAACAGGAUUAGAUACCCUGGUAGUCCACGCCGUAAACGAUGAGUGCUAGGUGUUAGACCCUUUCCGGGGUUUAGUGCCGUAGCUAACGCAUUAAGCACUCCGCCUGGGGAGUACGACCGCAAGGNUG
Molecule: ribosomal RNA, 550 nt
Filed under: uncultured bacterium
Lineage: Bacteria
Description: bacterial SSU rRNA
Rfam family: Bacterial small subunit ribosomal RNA
Source: RNAcentral